GACAUCACUGCCCCCCUACCUCUCCUGAAGACCACAGCCCCAACGCCAACCCGCUACACUCUCCUUUCCCUAGAUGCAGGCCACAGACAGACCCAGCGGCAGGCCUCUGGCCAGCCAGUGAUUCUGAGUCAGGGACAUCACUGCCCAACUAACUCUCCUUAAGAAUCCAGCCCUAGCGCAUACCUGCUAGGAUCCCCCUUCCCCAGCUGCAGGCCACAGACAGACCUGGCCUGUCCCCAGCUACAGGCAACAUACAGACCCAGAGGCCUGUCAGUGAUUCUGAGGCAGGGACAUCACUGCCCACCUACCUCUCCUGCAGACUCCACCUGAGCGCCCACCUGCUAGUCUGUCCUGUCCCUGGCUGCAGGCCACAGAGAGACCCAGUGGCAGGCCUCUGGACAGACAGUGAUUCCGAGGGAGGGACAUCACUGCCCACCUAUCUCUCCUGCAGACCCCAGCACCAGCAUCCACCCGCUAGAUGCAGGCCACAUACAGACCCAGCGCCAGGCCU
Tupaia belangeri chinensis (Chinese tree shrew) is the source of this 511-nucleotide long non-coding RNA. RefSeq lists it as uncharacterized. The record is from RefSeq and is a predicted model, not a curated record. Lineage: Eukaryota; Metazoa; Chordata; Mammalia; Scandentia; Tupaiidae. The transcript has 3 exons.